UGCAGAUAGGAUGAGAAGGAGAAUUAAAUGCAACGGGACAGGAGAGAUGACAAAAUUAGUUAUACGUGAAAGGAGAAUAUGGAAUAAAAGAAAUGGAGCGAUGAUUGUCUGAAAAAGGAGAAGAGUCGUCGAUGAACUGCGACUGAAGGGAAACAAAACGAUGGAGCAGGUGGAGAUCAUGAAGAACUCAGCGAGACAGUGUCAUCGCCGCUCGCAGCAGUGCAGCAGAUCAGCAGGAGGCCGAGAGAGACGGGAGACGGACGAAGACGGACAGAGUUGGAGACAAAACAACUGAGGGGAGAGAUAAGGACAAACAAGCAGGAUGUCAACUCGUGUUCUCAGGGUUCACAGCUGAGAAGUGAUACAUGGCUCAGUGAGAGUCGGAGCCCUGAGGGGUGGAGAGCGUUUCUGUGGCCUCGGUUGAUCUUCUCCAGGCUCGUGCACUCGAACCCCCGACCUUCUGUGCCACAGUCUGCGGCGUAACCCGCUGAGCCGUACCGGACGUACCAGACACGUGGGAGAACAGGUGACGAGGCGAGAAAAGCAUUUUGACGAGACGCGCGGAGGUGAUGUGGCGCGAGUCGCCUGCAGAUUCCAGAGAAAAGCCUGAAGCGUAGACCGCAGCCUCGGUCGACCUCGUUCUCGUCUGAUUCCCUCGCCGCGCCUGGGCCGCAUGUCCCCCCCGCAUAAAAAAAAAGACUACAUGACUUCAUCAACCAGAUAGAGAUUCGCUUUGAUUUGAUUUACUUCUGUCACAGAAAAUAAUGGAGACGCAGAGAGAAACUGUUUCCUCCUUUUUUGGCUCCUCACUCCACAAGCUCCGGAUCUCAGGAAAAAAAAACACUCCCUUUGCUUAUCACCAACCACCACCUCCAGACCUCAACCCCCCCGAUCCCUCGCCGUCCGCCCGUCUGGCUCAAUGACAAUCAAAGGUCAAAUGCCCCCCCCCGUCCC
This is a long non-coding RNA of Scophthalmus maximus (turbot), 954 nucleotides long. RefSeq lists it as uncharacterized. The transcript is spliced from 6 exons. Lineage: Eukaryota; Metazoa; Chordata; Actinopteri; Pleuronectiformes; Scophthalmidae. The record is from RefSeq and is a predicted model, not a curated record.